Molecule: long non-coding RNA, 524 nt
Filed under: Homo sapiens (human)
Lineage: Eukaryota; Metazoa; Chordata; Mammalia; Primates; Hominidae
Description: HSALNT0341100
Source: RNAcentral
AGUUGAUCGCCUGCGAUCAACGGCCGGAAGCGGCUAAAACUACUCCUGCCUGCAUACCCCGCAGGAGCAAACCGCGCCAUGUCUCCCUCCAGGGAUCCGCACCGCUCACAAUCCUGUUUAGUGCUGGGAUUGUAGUCCUGCGAGCCUACGACUAAUAGCUGGAUUAACUCUUAAGUACUCCACAACUACACGCUUUUGAAACUGGCGUUGGCAUAGCGUUAGUUCUGUGCAGGGCGGACGCAGCAGGACAGAAUCUCCCUGGGCAUCUUUUCGGAGCAUCAAUUUUACUGCAAAAUUUUGAAAAAACAAAUUUAAUUGAUUUCCAAGGUUUGUCAAGGAGGACAGAAACUCAGAGCACCCUGCACUUGGGGAUCGGCACUAGGAGCUGCUCUCUGGAUGGGGAGAUGGGAGCUAGCAGCUCACAAUGGGGUCACAAGAAUAUUGGUUCUUCUUUUAUCUGAAGUGAGGAGCACCAGAGGACUGAUCACGGCAUAGACAUUGACUACAAGACUCUGAACUUGCUG